RNAcentral lists this ribosomal RNA (497 nucleotides) under uncultured bacterium. Its description in RNAcentral is "partial 16S ribosomal RNA". It matches the Rfam family "Bacterial small subunit ribosomal RNA", at positions 28 to 507 of the family's 1533-position model. The record is from RNAcentral.
GAUGAACGCUGGCGGCGUGCCUAAUACAUGCAAGUCGAGCGAACGGACGAGAAGCUUGCUUUUCUGAUGUUAGCGGCGGACGGGUGAGUAACACGUGGAUAACCUACCUAUAAGACUGGGAUAACUUCGGGAAACCGGAGCUAAUACCGGAUAAUAUUUUGAACCGCAUGGUUCAAAAGUGAAAGACGGUCUUGCUGUCACUUAUAGAUGGAUCCGCGCUGCAUUAGCUAGUUGGUAAGGUAACGGCUUACCAAGGCAACGAUGCAUAGCCGACCUGAGAGGGUGAUCGGCCACACUGGAACUGAGACACGGUCCAGACUCCUACGGGAGGCAGCAGUAGGGAAUCUUCCGCAAUGGGCGAAAGCCUGACGGAACAACGCCGCGUGAGUGAUGAAGGUCUUCGGAUCGUAAAACUCUGUUAUUAGGGAAGAACAUAUGUGUAAGUAACUGUGCACAUCUUGACGGUACCUAAUCAGAAAGCCACGGCUAACUACGUG